GCGCAAUUUCGGGCGACCACCAGUACGC
RNAcentral lists this small RNA (28 nucleotides) under Bombyx mori (domestic silkworm). RNAcentral's name for it is "ovarian small RNA-5358". Lineage: Eukaryota; Metazoa; Arthropoda; Insecta; Lepidoptera; Bombycidae. The record is from RNAcentral.